Molecule: non-coding RNA, 160 nt
Filed under: Azospirillum isscasi
Lineage: Bacteria; Pseudomonadati; Pseudomonadota; Alphaproteobacteria; Rhodospirillales; Azospirillaceae
Description: 6S RNA
Rfam family: 6S / SsrS RNA
About the family: E. coli 6S RNA was the first non coding RNA to be sequenced, but its function was unknown until recently. It consists of 184 nucleotides that fold into an extended hairpin structure with a large single-stranded internal bulge.
Source: RNAcentral
AGGUCGCUGCCUGGUUCGUCAGGUCGCAAUAAUCCCCAGGGCCGAUAAUCUAGACUCUCGGGAGCUGUCCCUGUCCGGACCGUGGUCCGGGUACACGGCGCCCACCUGCUCUGCAGGUCAUGGAGGAUAGGCACAUGCCAACGGCCAAGGCGGCACCUUC